UGCUCCCUAUUUUUUUUAAAAUCCCAGAUCUCAAAGUGCUUAAAUUAAGCUGUUUUUUUUUUCUUCUCUCCAGCUGGGAGAAAGUUCUUGGAAUGAGAGAAAGAUAGUGGGCUUUAACAAAAGUUGAAAUGGAACACGAAAAUCGAAGGAGAGAAAGAGAGAUGUGUUUAAUGGAGGUGUUUAGAUGGAAAACUAGAAGAAAAUGGGGUUGAAUUGUAUUUGAUCGUACUGGAAGUUGUUUGUAGAUUCAUGAUGGAGGUGAAAAAUGAAAGAGAACCGACACAAUUUUUCGUAUCGUUUCCCACAGACGGCGCCAAAUGUUGAUGCACAAAACCCUAGGUUUUGGAACAACGUAAAUCCGACCAUGAAUCUGCAUGAAAUGUAAAGAACACAAGAUGUAUCGUGGUUCACCCCAAGGUUUGGGCUACGUCCACACUGAUUAUGUAUUUCUGAGAGUAUUGAGGAUGAAAGAGUUUUUGAGGGUGAGAGGGCCUAGGAAUUGGCCUCUCCCUAUUAUGAGGGUGAUGAGUCCUUUUAUAGAAUAAGGGCUCCUCACUUAUUACAUAUUUGCCCAUUCCUUUAUUACAUAAUUACAUUUAAGUCCCCUGCGUAUUUGUACGAGAUCUCAAUACGGAUGCCCUAAAUAUGGUAUAAACAAGCAUCACUCAUGUCAAUCAGCUUCAAAAGCUUCAUUUACAAAAGCUCUAGCUUCAAAAGCUUCAUUUACAGAGCUCCAGCUUCAAAAGCUUCAUUUACAAAAGCUCUAGCUUCAAAAGCUUCAUUUACAAAGCUCGAGCUUCAAAAGCUUCAUUUACAAAAGCUUUAGCUUCAAAAGCUUCAUUUACAAAGCUCCAGCUUCAAAGUUUCACUUGCAAAGCUUCACCUACAAAGCUUCAGUGCAGGGUAUACAAAUACCACCUCCGAACAACCGUCACUUCGGGCCAUACAUGGAUUCAAUUUGAAGUAUCCAGCCAAUAGACUCUAUUGACCGAAGACUUGGGGGACUACACUAUACACCAUAUAUUGGGCAUCAACUGGGCCUCAUGAAAAAUACUUGGGGGACCUAGCCCAUUAUUUAUGUAUUGAAGAACGAGCCCUUAUUCUAUAAAAGGGACUCCCUCACUUUCAUUAGAGAGC
RNAcentral lists this long non-coding RNA (1137 nucleotides) under Malus domestica (apple). RNAcentral describes it as "long non-coding RNA (MDOM_LNC017680)". The record is from RNAcentral. Lineage: Eukaryota; Viridiplantae; Streptophyta; Magnoliopsida; Rosales; Rosaceae.